GUUGUGGUGGCAUGUGCCUGUAGUCCCAGCUACUUAGAGACAGGAGGAUCGCUUGAGCCCAGGAGUUCAAGGCUAGCCUGGGCAACAUAGUGAGAUCCCGU
This 101-nucleotide small RNA is filed under the name Marmota monax (woodchuck). The record is from RNAcentral. Lineage: Eukaryota; Metazoa; Chordata; Mammalia; Rodentia; Sciuridae.